RNAcentral lists this ribosomal RNA (563 nucleotides) under Rhipidomenia polycoelioides. RNAcentral's name for it is "eukaryotic LSU rRNA". It matches the Rfam family "Eukaryotic large subunit ribosomal RNA", at positions 364 to 1006 of the family's 3401-position model. Lineage: Eukaryota; Rhodophyta; Florideophyceae; Gigartinales; Kallymeniaceae. The record is from RNAcentral.
AUGACAAGCACUUUGAAAAGAGGGUGAAAAGAGCCUGAAACCGUCAUGGGGGAAGCGGAUUGCGUUGGGUUGAGUGGUUGCAGUGUGUUCAACUGGUUUGUCAGUGUAUUGGCACAGCAAUCGAUCUGUCGUGGGUUUGGGAUGGUUGAUUUUGCAACUGUUCUGGGCUGAGGGCUCCCUUUUAUAGGUGAGGACGAUGGAGGGACGACGCGAUACGACCCGUCUUGAAACACGGACCAAGGAGUCUAGCGCGGGUGCGAGUCAAAGGGUGCAAGCCUGAGGGCGUAGUGAAAGCAAAUGUGAAAACUUGCAGUUUGGGGCGGCAUAAGAUCGUUGAUCUUAAGACCGACCUAGAGCAGUUGCGCUGGGACCCGAAAGAUGGUGAACUAUGCCCGAGUAGGGCAAAGCCAGAGGAAACUCUGGUGGAGGCUCGUAGCGGUGCUGACGUGCAAAUCGCUCGUCAAACUUAGGUAUAGGGGCGAAAGACUAAUCGAACCAUCUAGUAGCUGGUUCCCUCCGAAGUUUCUCUCAGGAUAGCGGGCCGACAUGGUGUUGUUUUGUGC